This 327-nucleotide ribosomal RNA is filed under the name uncultured Glissomonadida. RNAcentral describes it as "SSU rRNA". The stretch from base 114 to 327 matches the Rfam family "Eukaryotic small subunit ribosomal RNA", at positions 744 to 955 of the family's 1831-position model. Lineage: Eukaryota; Cercozoa; Glissomonadida. The record is from RNAcentral. RNAcentral also lists the same sequence under 1 other name.
GAUUUCUGAUAUUAAUUUAUCUGUCCCGUCGUGGUUACACGUAUGAGUGACGGAAUAAAUUUAUCUGUUUUGUAUGUGUGUUUUAUGAUGUGAAAGCAUUUGUAAAAUAACUAUACAUCUUUUACUUUGAACAAAUUAGAGUGUUUCAAGCAGGCAUUUAUGCCUUGAAUACAUGAGCAUGGAAUAAUCAUCGAGGACUUUUUAGUUCUAUGUUGAUUGGUUCUAGAACUAUAGUAAUGAUGGAUAGGGAUAGUUGGGGGUGCUAGUAUUCCGAGGCCAGAGGUGAAAUUCUUGGAUUCUCGGAAGACUCACUUAGGCGAAAGCAUU